CGUAAGGCGCCGAAUGAGUCAUUAAAAAAUUAACAUCAUCCGAUCCCUAGUCGGCAUAGUUUAUGGUUAAGACUACGACGGUAUCUGAUCGUCUUCGAUCCCCUAACUUUCGUUCUUGAUUAAUGAAAACAUCCUUGGCAAAUACUUUCGCAGUAGUUAGUCUUCAAUAAAUCCAAGAAUUUCACCUCUGACAAUUGAAUACUAAUGCCCCCAAUAUCCCUAAUUAAUCAUUACGUCAAUCCUAAGAAACCAACAAAAUAGGAUCAAACGUCCUAAUUUCAUUAUUCCAUGCUAAUGUAUUCAGGCGUUAGCCUGCUUUAAACACUCUAAUUUUUCAAAGUAC
Molecule: ribosomal RNA, 343 nt
Filed under: uncultured Glomus
Lineage: Eukaryota; Fungi; Glomeromycota; Glomeromycetes; Glomerales; Glomeraceae
Description: partial 18S ribosomal RNA
Source: RNAcentral